Molecule: non-coding RNA, 506 nt
Filed under: Pongo abelii (Sumatran orangutan)
Lineage: Eukaryota; Metazoa; Chordata; Mammalia; Primates; Hominidae
Source: RNAcentral
CUCACUUGAGCACAAUCCAAGAUGAAAGUUUCUGGGUUGUGUCCCCUUCGCUUCCUCUCACCCUCGCUCCCCCGCGGAGCCAAGGAGCCAGCAAUUGUGCAAGAGGAGCCCGGCGCACAGGGCGCGUAUCACGGAGCGCAUGGUACGAGCCGCCGGCUCCGGUGAUUAAUUAUCAGUAACCGAUGGCCUCGCGCUACCACGUCGGCUUUCCCAGCAGAGCCAGCAAGCCGAACGCCUCCAGCGCGGCCGGGACGGAGGAGCGGCUCUGUGGAAGACGCCGAGGCUGCGCCCGAGUCUGAACGAAGCUGCCUCCAGCCACAUGAAGUCAGUAGGGCCGUUCUGAGGGGCCCCAGAUUUGAUGACUGUUUUUUAGGUUGCGGAACCUACUCCGAGAGAGCAAACACUUUGGACGAAGUGAUUCACAUUGAUAGAAAGAUACAUUUGUUGGGUGGUGGCUUCUUUCAUUCUCAACAGAAAACAAAGAAAUAAAUUAAGUCUUCCCCUGA